AUUAGCUAGUUGGUGGUGUAGAAGACCACCAAGGCGACGAUGGGUAGCCGGCCUGAGAGGGCGAACGGCCACACUGGGACUGAGACACGGCCCAGACUCCUACGGGAGGCAGCAGUGGGGAAUCUUCCGCAAUGGGCGAAAGCCUGACGGAGCAACGCCGCGUGAGGGAAGAAGGCUUUCGGGUUGUAAACCUCUGUUUUCAGGGAAGAACAAAAUGACGGUACCUGAAGAGUAAGCUCCGGCUAACUACGUGCCAGCAGCCGCGGUAAUACGUAGGGAGCAAGCGUUGUCCGGAUUUACUGGGCGUAAAGGGCGCGUAGGUGGUUCAUUAAGUUAGAGGUGAAAGUUCGGGGCUCAACCCCGUGAUUGCCUCUGAUACUGGUGGACUUGAGUGCAGGAGAGGGUAGCAGAAUUCCCAGUGUAGCGGUGAAAUGCGUAGAUAUUGGGAGGAAUACCAGUGGCGAAGGCGGCUAUCUGGACUGUAACUGACACUGAGGCGCGAAAGCGUGGGGAGCGAACAGGAUUAGAUACCCUGGUAGUCCACGCCGU
This 549-nucleotide ribosomal RNA is filed under the name uncultured bacterium. RNAcentral's name for it is "bacterial SSU rRNA". It matches the Rfam family "Bacterial small subunit ribosomal RNA", at positions 240 to 803 of the family's 1533-position model. The record is from RNAcentral.